This 274-nucleotide ribosomal RNA is filed under the name uncultured bacterium. Its description in RNAcentral is "partial 16S ribosomal RNA". It matches the Rfam family "Bacterial small subunit ribosomal RNA", at positions 523 to 796 of the family's 1533-position model. The record is from RNAcentral.
AUACGGAGGGUGCAAGCGUUACUCGGAAUCACUGGGCGUAAAGGACGCGUAGGCGGGUUGUCAAGUCAGAUGUGAAAUCCUACAGCUUAACUGUAGAACUGCAUUUGAAACUGGCAACCUAGAGUAUGGGAGGGGGAGAUGGAAUUAGUGGUGUAGGGGUAAAAUCCGUAGAUAUCACUAGGAAUACCGAAAGCGAAGGCGAUCUCCUGGAACAUAACUGACGCUAAGGCGUGAAAGCGUGGGGAGCGAACGGGAUUAGAAACCCGAGUAGUCC